This is a long non-coding RNA of Esox lucius (northern pike), 1528 nucleotides long. The record is from Ensembl. Lineage: Eukaryota; Metazoa; Chordata; Actinopteri; Esociformes; Esocidae.
GCUGCAACUCAGCAAAUAAUAGAUAGUCUCAUUUAAACUACAUAAUUUGAUAAUACAAGCUAGAAAACUACAAGGUAAACUUUGACAUAAGUACAUUUGUCAACUAAAAUACUUUUCUCUAACUUCACACAACCCUAGACUCUAUUAGUUCGGUAAGAGGUGUUGUCUGUGGAGGUUUGACCUCUGGAAUCUGAUUAAAUGUUUCUCUACAGUAGUUGCAAGUUAGAAGUUAUUUUAUGGAGAGCAAAACUUCUCACAGUCAUCAGGAGACAGGAAUCUGUGCAUCCUGAUUCAUUGUUAGUGUAUCAGCUGGUGUCGUUUGAGGUUACUUAACUGAGAGAAGCACUUCCCACAGUUAGAACAGAGAUAAGGCUUCUCACCUGUGUGAACUCUCCUGUGACUGGUAAGAUCAGAAGAUGUAAUGAAACUCUUCCCACAGUCAGAACAGGGGAAAGAUUUAUCUCCAGUAUGUAUCCGCUGAUGACGUUUAAGGUUACUUAACUGAGAGAAACUUUUCCCACAGUCAGAACAGGAGUAUGGUUUCUCACCUGUGUGCACUCUCUGGUGACUAGUGAGAUCUGAUGAUGUAAUAAAAAUAAUUCCACAGACAGAACAGGCAUAAGAUUUCUCUCCUUUAUGUAUACGCUGGUGAAGUUUGAGGCUGUUCAAUUGAGAGAAAGCUUUCCCACAGUCAAAACAAAGGUAAGGCUUCUCGCCAGUGUGUGUGCGCUGGUGAAGUUUGAGGUGACUAAACUGAGAGAAACCCUUCUCACAGUCAGAACAGGAGUAAGGCUUAUGACCUGUGUGCACUCUCUGGUGACUAGUACGAUCGGAUGAUGUAAUGAAACGUUUCCCACAGUCAAAGCAGGAAUAAGGUCUUUCCCCUGUGUGUAUUCUCUGAUGAAUAAUUAGAGCUGAUGAUGAAAUUAAACAUUUCCCACAAUCAGUACAAGAGUAUGGUUUUACUCCAGUAUGGAUGCGCUGGUGAACAUUAAGGCUACUUAGCUGAGAAAAAUAAUUUCCACAGUCAGAACAGGAAUAAGGUUUCUCUCCUGUAUGUGUGCGCUGGUGAACUUUGAGGCUAACUAACUGAGAAAAACUCUUACAACAGACAGUACAUGAAAAUGGCUUCUCUCCUGUGUGUACUCUCUGAUGAAUAGUGAGGUCAGCUGUUGUUGUAAAACAUCUUCCACAGUCAGAACAGGAGUAAGGUUUUUCUCCAGUAUGUAUCUUCUGGUGAUGUUUGAGGUUACUGAAAUGAGAGAAACUCUUUCCACAGUCAGAACAGGAGAAUAGUUUCUCUCCGGUGUGCACUUUCUGAUGUCUAGUGAGGUUAGAUGAUGUAAUGAAACACUUCCCACAUUCAGAACAGGAGUAAGGCCUCUCUCCAUGUAUGUUAAGGUGUCUUUUGAAGUUUGAUACUGAUAAGAAAACAAAAUCACAUUGGGGGCAGUGGAAUAAUCCCUUAGCUUCGCAGUCUUCUAGUUGUUUCCCUCCAGAUGUAGGAAAUGCCUUCACCUCAUGAAUC